AUGCGGGUGUUUACACGUUUAAUUUCGCGGAUUUAGUAAUAGCAGUUGAAUAAAGUAGUUCGAAAUGAAUAGAAUAGUUGUCUGGUUAGUUCUGAAACCCAAUGUUGACUGUGAUUUCGCAUGUAGGAAUUCGUGAAUAGUUUGUGAAAUUGGUACAGCUGUCUAGUUUUGUGCAUGUGAUUUUCAGUGUUCGCUUUUGGGAUUAUAUUGAUUAUAUUCAACAGAAAAAGAGAAUCAUCUACCAGUACCAAGGUAAUAUUUGUUGCCAGUAGCUGUAUAAAUCUUCAUUUAUUUCACUUAUAGAAAUUUAGAAUUUUAAGACUAUGUAAACCAAUGGUAAAAAAUUUGAAUUUAUAAUGAUCCAUCAUUACAAAAUUGUAAUUCACCCGAUCAGAUAUGAAAGAAAAAAAGAUAAUAAACACUAAUGGUUAUAAACUUAA
Molecule: long non-coding RNA, 440 nt
Filed under: Hermetia illucens (black soldier fly)
Lineage: Eukaryota; Metazoa; Arthropoda; Insecta; Diptera; Stratiomyidae
Description: uncharacterized LOC119653183, transcript variant X2
Source: RNAcentral